CAAAAUUGAAAAACAAUGGUUCAAUUAUUAAAUAAUAUGAAUUAUUGAUAUGUUAUAUUCAUUAGACAAUCCUCAAAUGAUGGAAUAUGACUCACAUGUAAGAAGACCUAAUUGAAAUCAUCUAGACAUGUUCUCAUAAAAAAUAAAAAAAAAGAUAGUAGAAUGGAUGUCAGACAUGGAUUACAGAAACUAUAAAUUUUCUUGGUAACAUUUUAGAUAGUCUUCUUAAAAAAGAUUCUUUGUAACAUGAGGAAAAUUCAAUCUUAAUAAAAGCACUAUAAUUUUCCGCUAAACAUCCAUUUGCCAUAAAACCGCAAACAAAAUGAGAAGAACGUCACACAAGAGCCAAAUACAAAACUCUGAAACAGUACGCAGAACACCCCAAGUUCUUGUUCAAAUCAACAAGGUAGCAUUCUCCACCCAAACACACCAUGUGUUUACAAAGAUAGCAGAUCAAUCAACAAUUUAUAUUUAAUUGUUCUUUUGAUAUGAAUUAAUAGUCAAAAACUCAUCAAAUCAGUGAUACAGUACUAAAACUAGAGCUUACAUUUUGUUGACAAUUCUUUGGCGUGAUUCAGGCUGCAAUUGACCUCUCCAAUCACUAGUAUCCAUAUUCGGUUCAGCACCUUGAUUAGGUCUCCAAUUAUUGGUAUCCAUUGAAUUUAAAUUAACUGAAACCACAAAAAGCCAAAAGAAAAUUAAUGUUCUUGUCAAAUCAGACUCUGAAAGGAAAGUAUAAAACCAGAUUAUACACAAAUAUAAAAUUAAAAAUGGUAAUAAAUGGCGGUUACUGACUUGUCGGAGCGCCAAAAAGGGCUAUCAAUAAAAUCGUGCUUUUAGUCCCUAACAUCAGCUUAUUGGGCUAUGAUGUCAUGGACUAAAAUCAUAUUUAAGCUAAAAAACACAAUACAUAAGGCAAUCAAAUCUAUAAACAUUGUCGCGGUUUCUAACAUAUAUAAUGUAAAAGUUGUGUUAUUUAAACAUUUUUAUCUCUAUCUCUCGUAAUUUUUACCUUCAAAAACUUGCACGUUUUUCAAAAACACACAAAAACAAAAGACACCGUAAUUUAUAUCAAAAUUUGUAUUCAAAAUAUCAUUACUCAUAGAUAAUAUAAUAAUCAUUUGUUCAACUGACAUGCGCGCCAAAAAUUAGCGCGCGCAUAUCAGUUGAAAAAAUUAUUAUUAUAUCAUCAUGUAUGAGUAAUGAUAUUUUGACAUAAAAAAUUGAUUGAGGAUUUCCAUGAGGAAAAUCCUUGAGAAGAUUCCAUGGAUUGUAGUAGUUGAAACAAACAAUGGUUUUAGUUUUAUCAUCUAACUAAACAUGUUAAUUAACUAACCUUAUACCUAGCAAAAUAAGAAUUAUCUUACGAAGAAUAACAGAAUCAAAAGCAAAAGUAAGGUGAAAAAAACAAAUACACGAAUCAUAUAUAUCUAGCGUUAUUCUUGUUGAUCGAUUAUUAUUCAUUCUUAUCCAAAGAGAUGAUUAAUUUUUCUUGGAAGAUCUCAACUAUUUCUUCUUCAAAGCCUUUGAAUUCAAUCAAACCGAAUCAAACAAAUAGUAGCAAAAUCAACGAGAAGAUUUAUUCAUUCAAAAAAUGAACGAGAGAGAGAGAGAGAGGGAGUGAAAUGGAACCUGAUGGCGGUGGCAGAGGCGGUGGAGAUGGAUGAAUAUUCCUCCUCCUCCGCCGAUGGUGGUUAACGGUGGCGUUGUUGCGUGUCUGAAUGGGGAGCUUGAAGGUUAAUUGAAUUGAGGCACUCUCUCCCAAUGUCAAAGAAACUUGUAAGAAAGACCGACUUCAUGUCAUCAUUCAUGUUUAUAUAUAUAAGACUUGUCUUAAAUUUAAAGACUCCCUCACUUUCCAUUUUUUUAAUAUAUAAUUUAAUUUAAUACAAAAAGUUUAUUCGUAAAUAGUUGUAAGGACGUUAAUAUGCAUGAUCUUAGUUCGAAAAUGAGAUUUUUGUCCAUGUAGAUUUAAAAUAUGUAAGUCUAUCAUUCGGUUAUUUAACAAAAAAAAAAAAAUUUAACAAUAUAUUUUUCAACUCUUCUCUCUAAUUAAAUGGUUAAAAUUCACAUGACUUUUACCAAAUUUAUAUUGGAUUCAUAUGAUUUGAUGUGACCUAAAUGAAUUUUAAUUGACAAAAGUGAAUGUCUUGAAAAAAAAUAUGUAUUAAAUAGUAUGUUAUUGUCGUAUAAAUACAACUCAGUUGAUAAUCGCAACAAUAAUAAAGGAAAUGCUAACAAGUUAUCGAUAAUAAAAAAAAAAAAAACCUUUUUACAUGAAAGUUAUCGAUUAUUUUCAUUUUUAAAUUUUUAACAAGUGUUCUUAGAACAUUUAUCAGCAACACCCAAUCAAUAAUACGCACGGAUUAAAUUUUGAACCUUAAAUUCCCGACUGUCCAUGUUUCAAAUGUGUUGUUUGGAGUUUGCAUGAUGACUAAUGAUGGCUUAGAUGACAAAAAAAAUCAUUGAAUUGAAUCAAGUUUGAUCAUAGUAAUAAUAUCACAAACUUGAUAUGCUAGGUUAAGCUAUGAAUUAAUUUUUGAAAAUGUGAAAGUUCAUGAUUGUUAUUUUCAUUUGAUUCUCUCUUUUUUAGAGAAUUUCUUAAAAUGUGAAACUCGCACUUUGUUUUUGUUCGAAUUUUUCUCAUACAAUUAAAGUUUUAAGCGGCAUACCAUGUCGUUUGCUCAUUAUUCUCUUUAUUUAUCUUUCAUUGUGAUUUCAUAUAAAGUAUAAUUUAUCUAGUGAUGGUCGUGUGAUUAUGUGAACAUAACUUAUAGUUGACAAGGAUAUUGUAAUAUGCAGAACUAGGGUUUGAACUUAAACCCUCACUUAUUCGGACCUAGAUCCCCUGUUGUAACUGCUUCACGCAGUUACAUGCAAUAGUUGAUGAUCUUAGCCACAGAAAAAUGAUUCAAUGGUUUAGAUUUUUUUUUUUUUUUGCCAGUUAUCACACAGUUUGAUCUCAGUCGUCAAUAAAAAUUAAACAACUAAGAUCUGUUACAGCAGGACGCUGUAACAACACCAAAUCUCAUUCCCACUUAUUCACCUUAAUGAAUGAAUUUUUAACCAUUACUUGACAAUAAAAAAUAUUAAUCUAGUGUUAAAAAUCAUAAAAGUGCUAGUGAUUAUUUCGUCUCCGAAAUCAUAGAUGAUAUGAGACCGACACUUUUUUUCUUUUGUUCAAUAUCUUCUUUCGAAAUAAAAGUUUUUAUUAUAAUAACAUUUUUUAGAUAACAUAUUCAUUUUAUCGUUUUUUAAUAAUUUACAUGUUAAUUCUGAAUUCUUAUGCAAAGGACAGAGAGAGAUUGAGAAAAACUAAACAAUGCGGGAACGAAAUAUAAACUGUGAGAACCCUGCUUAUUAAUAUUUAAUAUAGUGCUAGCAAAUCUUUUUCUAAAAUAUUUUGAGUCCUAAUCUUUUUUUAGAGGAUUUAAAGUCCAAUCUUUAACAUUAUUUUUUAAUCAAGUUUGUUACUAAUCUUUUUUUAGAGGAUUUAAAGUCCAAUCUUUAACAUUACAUUUUGCUCAUGUUUGUUACUAAUCUUUUUUUUCCAGAGGAUUUAAAGUCCAAUCUUUAACAUUAUUUUUUACUCACGUUUGUUACUAAUAAUUUUUUUAGAGGAUUUAAAGUCCAAUCUUUAACAUUAUUUUUUUCUCACGUUUAUUACUAAUUUUUUUUAGAGGAUUUAAAGUCCAAUCUAUAACAUUAUAUUUUGCUCACGUUUGUUACUAGUAUUUUUUUAGAGGAUUUUUAGUCCAAUCUUUAACAAUAUUUUUUGCUCAAGUUUGUUACUAAUCUUUUUUUUAAAGGAUUUAAAGUCCAAUCUUUAACAAUAUUUUUUGCUCACGUUUGUUACUAAUAUUUUUUUUAAAGGAUUUAAAGUCAAAUAUUUAACAUUAAUUUUUGCUCACGUUUGUUACUAAUAUUUUUUUAGAGGAUUUAAAGUUCAGUCUUUACCAUUACUUUUUGCUCACGUUUGUUACAAUUGAUCAAAGGCUAAGAAAUAGUAACUUAUAUCUAUAAAAUAAUAAAUAAUAUGGAAAUACUGUUUUUUGUGAAAGGGAUAUGAAAAUAUUUAGCAAUCUUUGUUGGUUGUAUUGAGGGGAACAACACAGAUGUAGAACAUAAAAACGGCUGGUAAAAAAGUAAUAUGAGUUUUUGUUGUGUGCUAGUUUUUUGUGAAUUUGAUCUUUGGUUAAUGGAGGUAAAAAAGGGUUAACGGGGAAAAUUAGUGAGAUGGAUUACUAAUGUUAUUUUAUAAUUGACUAUUUGUAUUUAAAAUUAAGGGUAUUUUUAGAAAGAAAAGUCCAACCUAAAAGUGUGCUGAAAGGGGUAGUUUUCUUUAUAUAUAUAUAUAUAUAUAUAUAUAUAUAUAUAUAUAUAUAUAUAUAUAUAUAUAUAUAUAUAUAUAUAUAUAUAUAUAUUAUUUUGAAUAGAAGUUCUAAAGGUCUUCAUUAUUUUCCCUUGUUUAUAUAAAGUAAACUUAAUGUAGUGUUGAAUGUCUGAAAAGUGUUAAGUCAACGUUUCUUCUACAAAAUCAGGUUCAAGGGACUUAAUUUGAAACUUCAAAUGUAUAUAAUGAUUUUAUUUUUUGGAAUUUUACUCUUCACUCAAACUCGGAAAAAUCUUGUACUCAUCAUAAGAUUCGUACUCAAUUUUCACUCCUUGCUUCUCAAAAUGUUAAAAAAUACGAGACCUACAAACAAUUUUUGUUUCAUUCAUGCUCUUUUUUCACAGAAAGGUCAAAAACGAAAGAACAAUACGUCCUCUCAUUCUUUCUUCCGUUUGUUUUCUUUCUCCUAGUGUUUUAAUGUAGAGUAAACAUACUUCUUCAAAAAAAUGUAGAGCAAACAUAACCCAGUGUUGAAUUUUGAAGUGUUAUGCCAUUUUUUUAUCCAUGAUUUCAAUUAACAUGCUACACAUCAAACUUAAUUUCAAAAGUCAAAUUUUUUUUUUUUAUGAUAUAAAGGCUAGGCUCCAAAAACAAAAGCAUAAAAAUAUUUAGGAAAUGAAAUACAAGCAGUGUUUGCUAAUAAAACAUUUUUGAAAUAAAGGUAGGAAGAAACUCAAAAAUCCCAAGUGCAUCUAAUAAAAACCCUGGUUAGACUCUAGCAAAACAUGGAUCCACUGAAUAUCUCCAUAAUACCGAUGAAUCCGGACAACUGAGUCAAUAACAUAAAUGAGUAUUAAGACAACUGUCUUUAAGCAAUCGAAUAACAAGCCUAGAGUCGUAGUAAACUCUAAUCUUACUGUAGCCUCUAUUCCAAUCUAUGCUGAGACCAUGUCAAAUCCCCCACAGUUCUGCUUGCAAAACUGAGCAAGAUCCAAGCUUAUUAGCAUAAUGGAAAACAAAGUGUCCUUGAUCAUCUUGUAUAAGACCUCCACAAGCAGCAUUCAGAUCACAGUUCAAAACUACAUAAUCACACUUCAGAGCAACUUCACAAGAAUUUGGAGGAAUCAGUUUAUCAAAUCAGCAUUAAGUGCUGUCUGGUGAGUGUUCUGCACAUUAUAAAGAACAAGGAACAUGUGAGACUAGCAAAAUUUCAAGUUUUAAUGAUAUUUCAAACCAAUAUGUCACAGUAUAGUUCCAAUAGCUAAUGUUGAAAGACAUGAAACAACUGAGUAUCAGAUACUCUCGGAAUACUAUCACUAUGACAAGGCUCCUAAGUGCUAACCUGGGUUAGGAGGUUCAUUGCUAGGGCCAACUUGAUUUGAUGGUAAAUUGUUGGCUACAGGGUUUUGGACCUGGGAUCUAGUCUCCAUUGUAAGCAUCUUCGAAGAUAUUUUCUGUAGAUAAUCAGACUGAAAUUAGGGAAUGCCACAAUAAAUUGUCAAUCUUCCAUAUUCAUGCAAUCACGAGGCAUCUAUAAAUCAAUAAUCACGAGGCAUCUAAUUAGAGAUGUACUUGGCUUGUUGCAGAAGUAAAAAUCUUGUCUUCAAACCGUCAGGCAAUCUUCCAAAGUUCAUGCAAUCCCUCUUCACCAGAAACAAGAAGAUGGCUUUUUAAUGUCUCCAAGCUGCAAAAAUGAAAAACAAUAAAAUGAGUUAUUAAUAUGAUAUUUUCAUUAGCCAAUCGACAAAUAAUAUAAUAUGACAGACAUGUAAAAAGACCUCACUAGAAAUCACCCAUUCUAGUCCCUGUGAUCCAUAUCCGACGUUCAAAAAAUCAAGUAGUAGAAUGGACGUCAGAUAUGGAUUAAAGGGACUGGAAAUUUUCUUGGAAACAUCUUAUAUAGUCUCCUUAAAAAAAUUCUUGGUGACAUAACUAAAAUAAAUCAUAUUAAAACAUAUGUUUACAUUUUGUUGACAAUUCUUUGGCGUGAUUCAGCUGGAAAUUGACCUCUCCAAUCACUAGGAUCCAUAUUCAGUUCAGCACCUUGAUUAAUGGUAUCCAUCAAAUUAACUGAAAACACUGAAGAAAAAAAUAGAAUAUUCGCGUUAAAAUCAAUGUCAUUCUAGCUUCAAGUCGGAAUCAAUUCUACUAGACAACAACCAAAUAUGUGAAAAUCAAUUUUGAUGGAGGAAAUUUAAUCAUCGAUCAAAGAACAAGAAUCAAAUUGAAACAUACAAUAAUUAAAGAAUCAAUUAAGUAAUCAUAUAACUAUACCCAAAAUCAAAGCCAAAACUAAACUGAAAAUGAAAGAGGAGAUUUAAUCAUCCAAAAAAACUGAAGGAACACGAAACGAAGAGAGAGUAAUGGAACCUGAUGGUGGUGGUAUGCGGCGGAGAAGAAUAUUCCGGUGGUGGCGUGAGCAGUGGUUAACGGUUAUGUUGUGUGUUGGCUCAAGAAGGAGCUUUCGCGUUAAGUAUGACUCUCUUUGUUUGGAAUCAAUCAGUUGGUCCCCCAAAAUCUAUUAAAAGUGAUAAUUGUUCAAUAAAUCUCUAAAAUUUCUAACAUUUAUUUAAAAUAAAAAUGUUCAUUGGAAUUUACACUUAUUAAUCGGUGUCUAAUUCAUAAAAAAAUACUAUGAUCAGAAGUUGUGGCGUUGUCAAGACCUUUAGUUAGAGAUUCAAAAUUAUAAAUUGGUUUGAAUACUAUGAUUUGGUUCAAUUUUUUAAAGAAAAAGUUUGAAAUAAUUCAAAAUAUUUGUAAUUUUUUCUUACCAAAUUUGAAACAAAUUCAUAGAGAACAAAUUGGUUUGGUAAGUUGAUUAGGAUUGAGAUUUGUUAAAGUGUUGAUCCAGCAUUGUUUGCAUUUUAAAGCAAUUACAAUAAAUAAACUACACAUUCUAUAAAAGCAUUUUAAUAGGGUGAACUAAAAAAAAUUAAAGCGGGUAAAUUAUGUUUGCUUUUUGUAGGGUCAAAUUAUCAUGUAAAAGUUUUUUUUUUUUUUGAAAAGAAUCGACUAAUCCGAAGGGAUCAAUCCCACCGCCCACUUGCGGGGAGCCCCGUUUAAAGCCAGAGCAAACUCUGUAUGGACUUAGCCCACCAAAAUUGGCACCAGAGGGAAUCGAACCUGAGACCUCUGGAGGAGCAAACCCCAAGAUCCCAAGCCAACCACUAGGCCAACCCCAAAUGAAUUAUCUUGUAAAAGUUAAUCAAUCUAUAGUUAAUUUAAACAGUUUUUAAUUUAAUGGUGAUAGUUUAUUAAGUACUCAAAUUUGACCCUACAUGUUUAUAUUUUGUUAUUUGUAAUUAGUUUUGAUUCAAAACUAAUAUUUAUUUAACAAUUUUUAAAUAAAUAUGGGAAGAAUCAAUAUUGUUUUUGUAUACUUUUUAACUAAAGCGAGUUUUUCUCAUAUAAAAUGUAAGUCUUUUUUUAUCAAAUAGUUUAGUAGUUAUAAAUUCAUCUUUUAAAUUGAAUUAGUGGAGAAUUUGAGUCGAACAUCUUUACAUAUAUAAUGCAAUGUGCUUAGUAUUCGAGUUAAAUUUAUUGGACAAUAAACAUGAGUCUUUUUUCAUUAAAAAAUAAAUUAGUAUUUAUGUAUGGGUAACAUAAUAAAGACCGAAUCUUUAAAAAAAAAAAAAAAAUACUCCCUCUGUUUUAUGAAACUUCAAAUGAAAUAUUAAAUUUGCAAAUGUACUCUAAAUGAAAAUACAGAUGAUAAUAAUGGUAGAAAAUAUUUAAUCAAAAAAGUAUUUUAUCUUUCUAUUUGAAAUGGUAGUGACUACACUAGUGAGACUUAUCUGUAUUACUUUUUGAAGGAGUGAGACUUAUUUUAUGUUUAGUGAGAUAAUCGAUUUUUUUAGAGGUACUGAAAAUGUGAGACUCGCAGUUUGAUUUUUUCAACUUAUUUUUUUCCCUUCUUGCAAUGAAAGUUUGAUUAUCAACUUGCAGUCACGAAACCAGUACUACACUUCAUGAUUUCACUCCUUGCAUCUCCAAAUGUUCCAAAAUAAGACCAUUGCUAACAAUUUUUGUUCCGAUCCUUCUCUUUUUAUAGAAAGGUUAUAAACGACCUGGCAUUAACUUUUCUCCUGAAGCUUUCAUAUGGAGUAAACAGAAUAUAGUGUUGAAUUUUGGAAGUGUUAGACCAAUUUUUAUCCAUAGUUAUAUAUUCAUAUAAAUAAUCUAUAUAUAUGAAUCUACUAAAUAUCUACAUAAUGACGGGAGUUGUGUUAUUUGAACAACCAUUUGAACGAAAACUUAUGAGACAACCAUAAAUUUACAAAGAAAAUGGGGUAUUGACACAAAAACCAAAGCAAUAGAGAGAGAAAGUAAAAACAUAAUGUAAAUAUGAGAGAGAAAAUUGUUACAAAAGUUGUCAAAAAGAUGGUUGUAUAAAUAUCAUUUCUCUAAUGACGGUGUGAAUCCGGUGAAUUAAGUCAACAAGAGCAUAUCACAAAUGAGUAAUAAGACAACUGUCCAUAACCAAUUGAAUUGCAAGCUAAGUUCCCAGCUUAGUAGUGUAAUGAAUGUCCUACAUCAUCUUAGUAUAAGACCUCCACAAGCUUAGUUCAAAACUGCAGUGGCAAUCCCCAAAAGUUACAAUGACAGCAAAGGUAUCAAUUACUAAAUAAAAGAAAACAAUUAAGAGAAAUAAUGUAGUACCUCAAUCUUUGGCCUUUUGAUAAUGGAUGUUGCAAUUGGCUCCAAAUCAGAAGCCUCUAUAGCAUUUAACUGCUUGAUACUAUCAUUCACACAACCAGCGGAUGAUACAACAUCAAAGGGUGUAGCAUUGAUGCAACGUUUCAUCUUCCUGGAUCCAUUCACACCAUCUUGGGGUAGGAAAUUUCUAUCCUGAAGGUGACAAUUAGUCAUGGCAACCAAAUCUUCACCAACGGAAACUAUGGAUCCAUUGCCUGGAGCCGACGCUGCUAUCCUAUCAAUCAUGCUGAUAACUGAACUAGUAUCGCUGACAGCUGCACUUAAAGCCGCAGGGGUCAAUGAACUCACCUGGAAUCAUGAUUAGACAUAAAUUAGUCAUCUACAACUCCAAAAUUAAAAGAAACUUACGUCAUAUUUGUACAAACUAUGGUCACAAAUACAGAUCGGACCAGGUUUAGAUAAACUAGACUAACCGCUUUAACUAGGCGGUCCAUAAGCUCCUCAGUAACAGUUGACUUUCCUGACGAGGGCGCUAAUGCAUUACCAAUAUGUUGCUCAAAAACCCCUGGCUUAACACCAAUUACUUGCCUCAUCUUCAUGUCAUUUACAUCAUUCAUUUGGUGAAGUUGUUGCCUUUGAGUAACUUGGGGCUGCGUUUGUGACAUGGAGUGCGUGUGAGGUGGGGGAAGCUGCCCUGGCUGCAGUGAUGACAUUUCCCUAGGUCUAUUUGUAUUUAUGAAAUUUAUAAUCUGCUUCUCAUAUGAACCCAGUUUCUCUUUCAAACUAGGUGAGAUGUUGCUCUUGGAAACCUGGAGGAAUGUUAUAAGACGCUCCAACAUCAGUUUAAAUACCUUAAGCUUUUCAAGCUGAUCCGACUUUGGCUGGUGGGGAAGAGAAUCAUGCUGAUAGAAAAAAGAAGAUACAACAUUAAACACAAUAAAAAUAAGUUAGAAACAAAUGAAAAAACAUUUAAAGCUUCCUUUCAAGAAGGGUGAUCUCUUGUCAGUGUUCGGCACACUGCAACCUUCAGAGUUUUCCGGGAUAAUUAUGACACAAAAGGAUUACAAAGUUGCCUAACAAAAUGUACCUGCUGAAGUUUCGUUGCUAUUUUCUGAUACAUCUCAUUGAGCUCCGGCAAGUAGCUCUCUUUCAUAACUUUGAUCUAUUGUUAAAAUCAUCAGAAUCAAUAAAGAAUGUGUUAGAAACCAUGAAAUAUGUCACACAAGAAUAUUUGGACUAUAGUUGUAUUAAAUGGCACAGUAAGUAAAAUAGUUUUUUCCAUUUGUAAGGCGUCGUAAAUUGCAAGUUUCGUUUGUGUGCUGAAAUUGGGAAGAUGCGACUACGCAUUUGGUUACCCAUGAGCCCAAGACUUUGAUAAUUGAAUUGAAAACUUCAAAACUCAUCAAAUCAAUACCAUCUAGGGGUGUUCAAAACCGAACCAACCCAAUAGAAAAACCGCAAACCAAACCAAACCAAUCCAAACCAAAACCGCAAAAAACCGCACUUGGUUCGGAUGAAUUCGGAUGAAUUUUGCACUGAACCGCGCGGUUUGAUUUGGUUUGCGGUUUGCAUCUCAGCUACCGAACCAAACCAAACCAAACCGCAAGAAUAAUGAAUGUUACUUAAACAUGUACUAGCCCAAUUACAUAGCCCAGGAAUAAUCUCUUUUGAUUCGAUUUUUCCAUUGUUGCACCAUGAGGUUCAAUUCUAAUUCCUUUCCAUCUCUUUUAAUUCAUUUCCAGUGAUGAAUUUGUUUCCUUUUCUUUCCAAUAAUUUGCUUCAUGCUUAUGUUUCUUCUUAAUUUUACCUAUUUUAAUAUAAGUUUUACCUAAUAUUUUAUCAUAUAAACAACAAAAUAAAAUGCCCUAUGUUUAUUUUGUAAUAAGUUGGCAAUAUUAGAGUUAAUGUAAUAUUUUUUAUCUCGCGAUAAACCGCACAAGCCGAACCAAUCCAAACCGCAUUGGUUUGGUUUGGAUGACUUUUUAAAAAUCAACCGAACCAAACCAAACCGCAUGCUUUUUUAUCUCGCGGUUUGGAUGACUUUUAUGCUCAAAACCGAACCAAACCGCACCGCGAACACCCCUACAGCAUACCAUCUAUAUCAGCAAAGAGUCAAUUAAAUAAUUACAACAAGUCUGAAGUCUUUAUUAAUGCUAUAGGAUAAAAAGUGUAGUACAGAAAAUCAAAAUGAAAAAAUUCAUUAUAGAUGCAGCCCAAAUCUUUUCCUAUAUUAGAUGAAGGAUAAGAAUCAUCCCCCAAGAAAAGCAAAAAGUGUGGAUUCGUCUCCAUUUUUUUUAAUUAACUAGUGAGAAUUCCAUGUUCCUACUAUUAAGAUAUUUCUCGGCAUAAAAAGCCAUUUAUUUGACAAUUUUCAGUUGAUAAACCCAAUUUUCCCAAGAAAUAAAGAUAAGAAAGUAGCAUAAUACCUUUUGAUAUACUUCUUCUUGCCAAUCACCCCCACUUGGCUUUCCAGUCUUUGCAGUUGAAUCCAGAGAAGACAUUUUGUUAGGUCUAUAUGUAUUUAUGCAAUUUAUAAUCUGCUUCUCACAUGAACCCAGUUUCUCCUUUAAACAAGGUGAGAUGUUGCUCUUGGAAACCUGGAGGAAUGUUAUCAGACGUUCCAACACCAUUUUAAAUUCUUUAAGCAUUUCAAGCUCAUCCGACUUUGGCUGCUGGGGAAGAGAAUCAUGCUGAUAGAAAAAAGAGGAUACAACAUUAAACACAAUUAAAAUAAGUUAUAAGCAAAUGAAAAAAAAAUAAAAGCUUCCUUUCAAGAAGGGUGAUGGCUUGUUAGUGUUGAGCACACACUGCAACCUUAAAAGUUUUCCAGGAUAACUAUAAAAGAAAAGGAUUCUAUAUCGAUAAUAAGCUAUUAAAAAUUUGCCUAACAAAAGGUACCUGCUGAAGUUUCGUUGCAAUUUUCUGAAUCAUCUCACUAAGCUUUGGCAAGUAGCUCUCUUUCAUAGCUUUGAUCUAUUGUUAAAAUCAUCAUAAUCAAAUAAAGAACGUUUUAGAAACCAUGAAAUAUCUCAUGCAAGAAUAUCUGUAUUACUGUUGUAUUAAGUGACACCGUAAGUAAAAUAAUUUCUUCUAUUUGUAAAGCAUCAUAGAUUGCAAGUUUCAUUUUCGGGCUUAAAUUGGGAAGAUGCAAUUACGCAUUUGACUACAUGCGAGACCAUGAUUUUAAAUAUUGAAUUGAAAACUUUAAAACCCAUCAAAGCAAUUCCAUCUAUAUCAGCAAAAUUUAAUAAUUACAAUAAGUCUUUAUUGAGGUAGCAAUUACUAUAGGAUAAACAAAGUAGUACAAAAUUCACUGCAGAAAACCAAAGUGAAAAUAUUCAUUAUAGAUGCAGCCCGCAUCUGAAGGAUAAGAAAUAGAAAUCAGACACAUAAAAGCCAGAAAAUGUGGAUUCAUGUCCAUUUUUUUCCCUAAACUAGCAAGAAUUCCACGUUCCUUCUAUUAAGAUAUUUCUUGGCACAAAAGUCAUUUGUUUGUCAAUUUUCUAUUAAUAAAUCCAAUUUACCCAAUAAAUAAAGAUGAGAAAGUAGCAUAAUACAUUUUGAUAUAUUUCUUCUUGCCAAUCACCACCAUUUGGUUGUCCGGUCUGUGCUACUGAAUCCAGAGAAUCUACAAAGAUAUAUUAUGAUACACACAUUAGCAUACAAGGCUAAUAAAAUGUGGAAAUCUGCAACUUUUUUUUUUCUUUUCAGUUUGACUAUUUAAUAGAUAGUAUAGAACAGAUGGGAUAAUCACAAAUUAACUUGCAUGACUUUACUCUGCCAAUUAGAAAAAAUGCAUUUAAGAAAUAUUGUGGUUUCCUAUGUUUUACUUUUCCUUUUCUUUGCAAGUGUUUGUUAAGAAUUGUUGAAAGCAUAAGAGUGUUAUCCUAGACUGUCAAAAUCAAAAUCCUACAUAUAAAACCCUAUUGAUUCUACACAUUAGAAAGGCAGGAGACGCCCAAUACCAGAAGGAAAUUCAUUAUGCUGAGAUUGCAUGGAAUGCAUCCCAGCACAUAGAAUCAGCAUCUCAUAUUCCAAAACAAACUUUUCAAAACCUCCAUUUCUAGUCGAUGCGGGACUAACCACUCACACUUGAAUUCCAGCAAUUUCCCCCUCAAGUGUGAGUCACCCACAUCACUAGCCUUGAUCCACACUAGGAUCCCACUCACACUUGUUUAAUCGAUGCCACUAUUUAGACUUGCCGGCUUUUGACUCAGUUUUGCAGAGGACGCUCUUCUAGUUCUACCUUUGACCUUGAAAUUGUGGUUCCACGACUUGAUUUGUUCUAUCAAAGAUCGCUGCACAACUCUAGACCUAUUUUGGUAUAUUACAUCUGCGGUCCAGCCCAUUACAAUUAACUUAAAUGUCAAUCUUUAAGUGUUUUAAGAUUCUGAUGUGUAACAUCAACUUUUGACCUUAAUUCUUCAAUUAGCGGCUGUAGACCAUCUUUUUCUCGGUUUCCUUUUUUCCCUAGGACAGACAGAACAUCGACCUUAAACACUUUACACUCUCACAAUCUACACAUCUAACCCUAAAUGAUCUGGUGAAACUGUGCAGAGUGCUGGAUCGUCCGCAUGCCUGAAUUUCCGGUGACACUGUAUAUGUUUAUCUUUAUCUUUCUUACUUUUUAUUUUCUGCAACUUACACGUUUAUAAAAAAUAUACACAAAAACAAAAAGACACCGUAAUGAUUGACCAAGUAGGAGAUGCAAAGAAAAACUAUGAUGUAAUGUCAGAAUCCAAUUGAUGAAUGAUUCAUUAACAACACAAGAAUAAUAUUAAUAUAAAAAAAAUUAAAAGCAAUAGAGGUUGAAGAUAUAGUACAAGGAUCAUGUAGGACAAGCAAAACUUAAAGUUUUAAUGAUAUUUCAAAGCAAAAUGUCAGCGUAUAGUCUCAAUAGCUGAUGCUGAAAGACAUGAAACAACUGAGAGCCAGAUACUCUCGGAAUAGUAUCAACAUGCCAGGGCUCUUAAAUGCAAACCUGGAUAAGGAGGUUGAUUGCUAGGGCCAACUUGAUUCGGCGGUAUAUUGUUGGCAAUAGUGCCCUGGGAUUUAGUCUCCAUCGUAAGCAUCUUCAAAGAUAUUUUCCGUAGAUAAUCAGACUGAAAUUAGAAAAUGCCAGAAUAAAUGGUCAAUCUUCUAUAAUGGUAUGUGUUUGUUGUAUAGGUAACUAUAAUUUGAUAAUCAAGUGGCUUCUAAUUAGCGAUAUACCUGGCUUGUUGCAGCAGUAUAAAUCUUCUCUUCAAACCUUUGGGCAAUCUUCCAAAGUUCAUGCAAUCCUUCUUGACCAGAAACAGGAAGAUGCCUUUUUAAUGUGUCCAUACUCCAAAAUUGAAAAACAAUGGUUCAAUUAUUAAAUAAUAUGAAUUAUUGAUAUGUUAUAUUCAUUAGACAAUCCUCAAAUGAUGGAAUAUGACUCACAUGAAAGAAGACCUAAUUGAAAUCAUCUAGACAUGUUCUCAUAAAAAAUAAAAAAAUAAACAGAUAGUAGAAUGGAUAUCAGACAUGGAUUACAGAAACUAUAAUUUUUCUUGGUAUCAUUUUAGAUAAUCUUCUUCUUAAAAAAAAAAUCUUUGUAACAUGAGGAAAAUUCAAUCCUAAUAAAAGCACUAUAAUUUUCCGCUAAACAUCCAUUUUCCAUAAAACCGCAAACAAAAUGAGAAGACCGUCACACGAGAGCCAAAUACACAACUCUGAAACAGUACGCAGAAAACCCCAAGUUCUUGUUCAAAUCAACAAGGUAGCAUUCUCCACCCAAACACACCACACGUUUACAAAGAUAGCAGAUCAAUCAACAGUUUAUAUUUAAUCGUUCUUCUGAUAUGAAUUAAUAGUAAAAAACUCAUCAAAUCAGUGAUAGAGUACUAAAACUAGAGCUUACAUUUUGUUGACAAUUCUUUGGCGUGAUUCAGGCUGCAAUUGACCUCUCCAAUCACUAGUAUCCAUAUUCGGUUCAGCACCUUGAUUAGGUCUCCAAUUAUUG
This 14972-nucleotide long non-coding RNA is filed under the name Medicago truncatula (barrel medic). RNAcentral describes it as "long non-coding RNA (MTRU_LNC000064)". The record is from RNAcentral. Lineage: Eukaryota; Viridiplantae; Streptophyta; Magnoliopsida; Fabales; Fabaceae.